RNA transcript from Piliocolobus tephrosceles (Ugandan red Colobus), 995 nucleotides. It is a transcript of the gene named signal recognition particle subunit SRP72 pseudogene, with no coding region annotated. The transcript has a single exon. Lineage: Eukaryota; Metazoa; Chordata; Mammalia; Primates; Cercopithecidae. The record is from RefSeq and is a predicted model, not a curated record.
ACUUGUAGAUCCAGAGAAAGCCAAAGCUCUUAGUAAACACUUGCCAUCGUCAGAUAGUAUGUCUCUAAAAGUAGAUGUUGAGGCUCUUGAAAAUUCUCCUGGUGCUACGUACAUUCGGAAGAAGGGUGGAAAAGUUACUGGAGAUAGUCAACCAAAGGAACAAGGACAGGGAGAUUUGAAAAAGAAGAAAAAGAAAAAGAAGGGAAAAUUGCCUAAGAAUUAUGACCCAAAAGUUACCCCAGAUCCAGAAAGAUGGCUGCCAAUGCGAGAACGUUCUUACUACCGGGGAAGAAAGAAGGGUAAAAAGAAGGAUCAGAUUGGAAAAGGGACCCAGGGAGCAACUGCAGGAGCUUCAUCUGAACUGGAUGCCAGUAAAACUGUGAGCAGCCCACCCACCUCCCCAAGACCUGGCAGUGCUGCAACAGUAUCUGCCUCUACAAGUAACAUCAUACCCCCAAGACACCAGAAACCUGCAGGGGCUCCAGCAACAAAAAAGAAACAGCAACAGAAAAAGAAGAAAGGUGGAAAAGGUGGCUGGUGAUGAGAAUAUUCUUGUUGCAGGCUGUUUUUAAACUAGUGUCAGUGACACUAGGAAUAUAAUAAAGGUAACACAGCAAGAAGCACAGAACUGCUCCCUCUUCAUCUCCAUAUUUUCAUAAUUUCUUGUGUUUCAAAUAGGGAAACAUCUUCCUCAAAGUCUGCCUAGUGAGAUAUGGCCUACUGGUUGCCUCAUAGCUUUGUACAGAUUAUGAGGACUGAAAAUAAUUGGGCAUUUACCCAUCUUGGUAUCUGUUGUAUCCUUUAUUUGUGUGUGCUGAUUCAAUCUUUUUUCAGUUUCACAUACCUUAUCUAAGGUUUCCCAGGAUUGAAACAGAAACUAUUUCUACAAUUUCAGCUGGAGUCUGAAGAUACUUGUUUCUGUUCAAGUCCCACUUUAAAUUAUGUCUUAGGAGGCCUUAGGAGACUGAAAGUGGAAUCUUCUGAGCAUUCCUAAA